GCAUGCGAAGGCGCAAGCCGCUGUAUAUGCACUGACGCCUGCCCGGUGCCGGAAGGUUAAGAGGAUCCGUCAGCCUUCGGGUGAAGCGGUGAAUUCAAGCCCCGGUAAACGGCGGUGGUAACUAUAACCAUCCUAAGGUAGCGAAAUUCCUUGUCGGGUAAGUUCCGACCUGCACGAAUGGCGUAACGACUUCCCCACUGUCUCGACCAGGAGCUCGGCGAAAUUGCAGUACGAGUAAAGAUGCUCGUUAAGCGCAGAAGGACGAAAAGACCCCGGGACCUUUACUAUACCUUGGUAUUGGCAUUCGGUGUGGAUUGUGUAGCAUAGGCGGGAGGCCGAGAGGCGCGGUCGCCAGAUCGCGCGGAGCCGUAAGGUGAAAUACCGCUCUGUUCGCAUUGGAUGUCUAACCUCGAACAGUCAUCCUGUUCAGGGACAGUGCCUGGCGGGUAGUUUAACUGGGGCGGUUGCCUCCCAAAGAGUAACGGAGGCGCCCAAAGGUCCGCUCAGCCCGGUUGGCAAUCGGGUGGCGAGUGCAAGUGCACAAGCGGGCUUGACUGCGAGGACGACGGUCCGAGCAGGGACGAAAGUCGGGACUAGUGAUCCGGUGCCGGUGUACGGACGCGGCAUCGCUCAACGGAUAAAAGGUACCCCGGGGAUAACAGGCUGAUCAUUCCCAAGAGUCCAUAUCGACGGGAUGGUUUGGCACCUCGAUGUCGGCUCGUCGCAUCCUGGGGCUGGAGCAGGUCCCAAGGGUUCGGCUGUUCGCCGAUUAAAGCGGCACGCGAGCUGGGUUCAGAACGUCGUGAGACAGUUUGGUCUCUAUCCUCUGCGCUCGUUGGAAUGCUGAGGAGGCCUGCCCAUAGUACGAGAGGACCUGGGUGGACGAACCUCUGGUAUGCCGGUUGUCACGCCAGUGGCACGGCCGGUUGGCUACGUUCGGAAGGGAUAACCGCUGAAAGCAUCUAAGCGGGAAGCCUGCUCCAAGAUAAGCAUUCCGUGGAACCUUCGAGUUCCUGUAGUCCCCAUGCAGAACACGUGGUCGAUAGGCCGGACGUGGAAGCCCCGCGAGGGGUGGAGCCGACCGGUACUAACGGACGAAAGGCA
This 1104-nucleotide ribosomal RNA is filed under the name Bifidobacterium longum. RNAcentral describes it as "partial 23S ribosomal RNA". It matches the Rfam family "Bacterial large subunit ribosomal RNA", at positions 1821 to 2925 of the family's 2925-position model. Lineage: Bacteria; Bacillati; Actinomycetota; Actinomycetes; Bifidobacteriales; Bifidobacteriaceae. The record is from RNAcentral.